GACGAACGCUGGCGGCGUGCUUAACACAUGCAAGUCGAACGGAAAGGCCCUGCUUGCAGGGUGCUCGAGUGGCGAACGGGUGAGUAACACGUGGGUGAUCUGCCCCUUAUUUUGGGAUAAGCCUGGGAAACUGGGUCUAAUACUGGAUAGGACCAUGCUGUAGGUGGUGUGGUGGAAAGAUUAGUUUCGGUAAGGGAUGAGCUCGCGGCCUAUCAGCUUGUUGGUGGGGUAAUGGCCUACCAAGGCGUCGACGGGUAGCCGGCCUGAGAGGGUGGACGGCCACAUUGGGACUGAGAUACGGCCCAGACUCCUACGGGAGGCAGCAGUGGGGAAUAUUGCACAAUGGGCGCAAGCCUGAUGCAGCGACGCCGCGUGGGGGAUGACAGCCUUCGGGUUGUAAACUCCUUUCAGCCAUGACGAAGCCCUUGUGGUGACGGUAGUGGUAGAAGAAGCACCGGCUAACUACGUG
RNAcentral lists this ribosomal RNA (469 nucleotides) under uncultured bacterium. RNAcentral describes it as "partial 16S ribosomal RNA". It matches the Rfam family "Bacterial small subunit ribosomal RNA", at positions 28 to 507 of the family's 1533-position model. The record is from RNAcentral.